Molecule: long non-coding RNA, 699 nt
Organism: Salvelinus sp. IW2-2015
Lineage: Eukaryota; Metazoa; Chordata; Actinopteri; Salmoniformes; Salmonidae
Source: RefSeq, a predicted model, not a curated record
CUCUCUCAGAUUGGCGUGUCCUUCCAGCAGGUGGAGAUGUAGAAGACUGUGAUUUUCUCCGGGGAUCAGGAUCAUGAUUCUCAAGGCCAUUGGCAUCCUGAGAGAAGCACUAGCUGGGGCCCWCAUCAAUCCCUCCAGAACAGGGAGUCACAGCCAUUACCGUUCACCAGGCUGCCAGCAGCGUCCCCACAUCUGACUUCCUCACCAACACACACACGCUCAGACAGAGAGAGACACACACUCUGGAUUCUCCCCUCAGUGUCACUAGCUGAGAGACGGGCAGUAACGAGCGUAUGGCCAUGUCUCUCUGGGGUAAAAGUGAACGGUUGGCCAGACAGAAGAACACUAUGACCGCAACAGACAGUGGCCACAACAGCAACAGUCGGACCGCAGCAAGAAGGCUUCGACCCCACCAGCAGGAAGGCUUCGACCCCACCAGUGAGAAGGCUUCGACCCCACCAGCAGGAAGGCUUCGACCCCACCAGUGAGAAGGCUUCGACCCCACCAGCAGGAAGGCUUCGACCCCACCAGUGAGGACCAUCUGUCUGCAACAGAACAGUUUCACUCUCUCACAUUUUCUCUGACUGUUUCCUGAUCUCUCUCCACUCUCUCUAUUUAUCACUGUUUCCUGUUCUCUCUCUUCAAUCUAUAUUUAUCACUGUUUCCUGUUCUCUCUCCUCAAUCUAUAUUUAUCACUGU